This 374-nucleotide long non-coding RNA is filed under the name Nicotiana benthamiana. Its description in RNAcentral is "long non-coding RNA (NBEN_LNC029996)". The record is from RNAcentral. Lineage: Eukaryota; Viridiplantae; Streptophyta; Magnoliopsida; Solanales; Solanaceae.
GAUCUGUAAAAUAAAAAUCCACACCAGAAUAACAUCAGAUCUGCCAGAUCUACACUGUCCCAGGAAAAAAACAAAGCAAAAGUUGGACUACGUCCGAUCUUGCUCGAAAAGUAACGUUCAUUCAAAGUAAAUUGGACCAAAAAACAGAAAUGACCGAUCUAUCUUCAUCUCUUUUAUAAGAAGAGAAGUAAGACGGAACGUACCGUUAGAGAGAACGAAUAAUAGUAUCAAAUAGUAACAGUAACAGAUGAAUCAACAGUAACAGAUAGAGACAUAGUAACAGUAACAGAUGAAUCAACAGUAACAGAGGGGUAAACGAAGCCAAAGCAGGGCUCGGAUUCCGAUCUCUGCUCUGCGACCGACAAACGGACCUU